This is a long non-coding RNA of Zalophus californianus (California sea lion), 462 nucleotides long. RefSeq lists it as uncharacterized. NCBI's taxonomy places the organism in Eukaryota, Metazoa, Chordata, Mammalia, Carnivora, Otariidae. The record is from RefSeq and is a predicted model, not a curated record. The transcript is spliced from 3 exons.
UUGGCAGGCAGUGGCUGAGGAUGGAGGGGGCCAUCUGCGAGAGGCAAGGGUCGACAGCCUGGCCUUUGAGAUUAUACAUCGGGUCUGAUUAGAUCCCUGUUUUAUGUCAUAGUGGAGCUAAUUUAAGUGGAAUGGAAGACAUCUGAGUCUCAAUGUUCUCUCGAUCACUUCAAGAAAUUCGAACACGGCAGUGAACUUGCAUUCUUUCUUCAAGCCUGACAUACUGCCAUUUCACACGGAAACGGAGCUCAAAUGGACCAGGACCAAGAAUAAAGAUAAACUGGGAUAUUUGACUUAGAUUUUCUGCCACAGUAUUGCAGAAGAUGCCGAAGGAGACUUGAAUUGGCAUCCAUCUCUCCAACUUUCUGCCCAACCAUUAGCCCUUGAAAUGAAUAUGGCUACUUCACUGAAGACACUGAGCUUCUCACAUGUAGCAAGGAGCAUCACACCCCUGCCUCACUU